Molecule: non-coding RNA, 1156 nt
Organism: Odocoileus virginianus texanus
Lineage: Eukaryota; Metazoa; Chordata; Mammalia; Artiodactyla; Cervidae
Source: RefSeq, a predicted model, not a curated record
UGAGUCUCACUCCCUGGUCAUGAGACUCCUCCCCUCCACUGAUGGGUGUGCUAGUUGGCAACCCAGAGGGGAAUCCCACCACAACAGUCAGCUUUGCCCCCAUGGGCCAGAGAUUCCUUCUCCCAUCUAGAUGCACCCAUGACUCUAGCUGGGGAAUCUCUGGUUCAUUCAGGUGGCACUGCUGGGGGCUUGGGAGCCCCAGUAUCACCAGAAAAAUGGAUCAAAAUAGCACCUGGAGGGAUUUCCAUGACAGUCCGCUGGCUAAAGCGCCACACUUCCACUGCAGAGGGCGUGGAUUCGAGGCCUGGUCGGAGGAGCUAAGAUCCCUCAUGCCUAAAAACAAGUGAAAAAAAAACAAAAUGGCACCUGGAGUCUCCUCUUUUAACGUUACUAAACUGGCUGGGUACGAGUACAUUUAUACAGUUGACUUACAACAGGUGGAACAGAAUUCAGAACCCAUGGAAGAGCUGGUGUCCAGAGGUGAUGUCACACAGGCCGUGGUCCAAUGGGGUUCAUAGCCCUGGAGCUGGAGAGAGACUGGGCUUCUAGAGUGAGCUCUUCAACCUUGUGUCUUAAUUCCUCUCACAGGGAUGAUUCGAUCCCUCUUUCUCAAAUUAUAGGUUUGAUAAAAUAUCCUGUUCCCUGCAGGGUUUUUUUGUUGUUAUUUAAAAAAAAAAUUUUUUUCCAGUUGGCUUUCAUCCAGAUCUAGAGGAUUUAACUGUAGUGUUGUGAGAGAUGUUUGACCUCGAGAUCAUGAUCGCCAUUGGGAGCGCCUUACUGAUUACAGCUUUCGUGCUCAUAGGCGUCGUCAUCUGGCUUUACUACAAAGUAGCCAACACGUUAAAUGCUGCAAAGACACCCAUUGCUACGGCCAUUACCUGUAGUGAUCAAGAUAAGGUCACCGAAGCUGCAACCUCCACCCCCGAGUCUUACCCCAGUUUCCGGUGCUAUGAAGAAUGUAACUUGCCUGCCAACUUUGAUCCCCUGACAUCGUGCUUCUGUGACAUAAACAAGGGACUCAAUACAGAAUGAGUAAUAGAAGGUGGUUAUGAACACCAACUGCCACCAUCUGACUAGUUACAGAAACAAGGACUCUGUCGUGAAUAUUUCCUCCUUAUUUGUUAUGAAUAUGUUGUAUUUACAUACGUUAAGCAAA